This 2904-nucleotide ribosomal RNA is filed under the name Escherichia coli. RNAcentral's name for it is "23S ribosomal RNA". It matches the Rfam family "Bacterial large subunit ribosomal RNA". The record is from RNAcentral. Lineage: Bacteria; Pseudomonadati; Pseudomonadota; Gammaproteobacteria; Enterobacterales; Enterobacteriaceae.
UUAAGCGACUAAGCGUACACGGUGGAUGCCCUGGCAGUCAGAGGCGAUGAAGGACGUGCUAAUCUGCGAUAAGCGUCGGUGAGGUGAUAUGAACCGUUAUAACCGGCGAUUUCCGAAUGGGGAAACCCAGUGUGUUUCGACACACUAUCAUUAACUGAAUCCAUAGGUUAAUGAGGCGAACCGGGGGAACUGAAACAUCUAAGUACCCCGAGGAAAAGAAAUCAACCGAGAUUCCCCCCAGUAGCGGCGAGCGAACGGGGAGGAGCCCAGAGCCUGAAUCAGUGUGUGUGUUAGUGGAAGCGUCUGGAAAGGCGUGCGAUACAGGGUGACAGCCCCGUACACAAAAAUGCACAUAUUGUGAGCUCGAUGAGUAGGGCGGGACACGUGGUAUCCUGUCUGAAUAUGGGGGGGACCAUCCUCCAAGGCUAAAUACUCCUGACUGACCGAUAGUGAACCAGUACCGUGAGGGAAAGGCGAAAAGAACCCCGGCGAGGGGAGUGAAAAAGAACCUGAAACCGUGUACGUACAAGCAGUGGGAGCCUCUUAAUGGGGUGACUGCGUACCUUUUGUAUAAUGGGUCAGCGACUUAUAUUCUGUAGCAAGGUUAACCGAAUAGGGGAGCCGAAGGGAAACCGAGUCUUAACUGGGCGUUAAGUUGCAGGGUAUAGACCCGAAACCCGGUGAUCUAGCCAUGGGCAGGUUGAAGGUUGGGUAACACUAACUGGAGGACCGAACCGACUAAUGUUGAAAAAUUAGCGGAUGACUUGUGGCUGGGGGUGAAAGGCCAAUCAAACCGGGAGAUAGCUGGUUCUCCCCGAAAGCUAUUUAGGUAGCGCCUCGUGAAUUCAUCUCCGGGGUAGAGCACUGUUUCGGCAAGGGGGUCAUCCCGACUUACCAACCCGAUGCAAACUGCGAAUACCGGAGAAUGUUAUCACGGGAGACACACGGCGGGUGCUAACGUCCGUCGUGAAGAGGGAAACAACCCAGACCGCCAGCUAAGGUCCCAAAGUCAUGGUUAAGUGGGAAACGAUGUGGGAAGGCCCAGACAGCCAGGAUGUUGGCUUAGAAGCAGCCAUCAUUUAAAGAAAGCGUAAUAGCUCACUGGUCGAGUCGGCCUGCGCGGAAGAUGUAACGGGGCUAAACCAUGCACCGAAGCUGCGGCAGCGACACUAUGUGUUGUUGGGUAGGGGAGCGUUCUGUAAGCCUGUGAAGGUGGCCUGUGAGGGUUGCUGGAGGUAUCAGAAGUGCGAAUGCUGACAUAAGUAACGAUAAAGCGGGUGAAAAGCCCGCUCGCCGGAAGACCAAGGGUUCCUGUCCAACGUUAAUCGGGGCAGGGUGAGUCGACCCCUAAGGCGAGGCCGAAAGGCGUAGUCGAUGGGAAACAGGUUAAUAUUCCUGUACUUGGUGUUACUGCGAAGGGGGGACGGAGAAGGCUAUGUUGGCCGGGCGACGGUUGUCCCGGUUUAAGCGUGUAGGCUGGUUUUCCAGGCAAAUCCGGAAAACCAAGGCUGAGGCGUGAUGACGAGGCACUACGGUGCUGAAGCGACAAAUGCCCUGCUUCCGGGGAAAAGCCUCUAAGCAUCAGGUAACAUCAAAUCGUACCCCAAACCGACACAGGUGGUCAGGUAGAGAAUACCAAGGCGCUUGAGAGAACUCGGGUGAAGGAACUAGGCAAAAUGGUGCCGUAACUUCGGGAGAAGGCACGCUGAUAUGUAGGUGAAGCGACUUGCUCGUGGAGCUGAAAUCAGUCGAAGAUACCAGCUGGCUGCAACUGUUUAUUAAAAACACAGCACUGUGCAAACACGAAAGUGGACGUAUACGGUGUGACGCCUGCCCGGUGCCGGAAGGUUAAUUGAUGGGGUUAGCGGUAACGCGAAGCUCUUGAUCGAAGCCCCGGUAAACGGCGGCCGUAACUAUAACGGUCCUAAGGUAGCGAAAUUCCUUGUCGGGUAAGUUCCGACCUGCACGAAUGGCGUAAUGAUGGCCAGGCUGUCUCCACCCGAGACUCAGUGAAAUUGAACUCGCUGUGAAGAUGCAGUGUACCCGCGGCAAGACGGAAAGACCCCGUGAACCUUUACUAUAGCUUGACACUGAACAUUGAGCCUUGAUGUGUAGGAUAGGUGGGAGGCUUUGAAGUGUGGACGCCAGUCUGCAUGGAGCCGACCUUGAAAUACCACCCUUUAAUGUUUGAUGUUCUAACGUUGGCCCGUAAUCCGGGUUGCGGACAGUGUCUGGUGGGUAGUUUGACUGGGGCGGUCUCCUCCUAAAGAGUAACGGAGGAGCACGAAGGUUGGCUAAUCCUGGUCGGACAUCAGGAGGUUAGUGCAAUGGCAUAAGCCAGCUUGACUGCGAGCGUGACGGCGCGAGCAGGUGCGAAAGCAGGUCAUAGUGAUCCGGUGGUUCUGAAUGGAAGGGCCAUCGCUCAACGGAUAAAAGGUACUCCGGGGAUAACAGGCUGAUACCGCCCAAGAGUUCAUAUCGACGGCGGUGUUUGGCACCUCGAUGUCGGCUCAUCACAUCCUGGGGCUGAAGUAGGUCCCAAGGGUAUGGCUGUUCGCCAUUUAAAGUGGUACGCGAGCUGGGUUUAGAACGUCGUGAGACAGUUCGGUCCCUAUCUGCCGUGGGCGCUGGAGAACUGAGGGGGGCUGCUCCUAGUACGAGAGGACCGGAGUGGACGCAUCACUGGUGUUCGGGUUGUCAUGCCAAUGGCACUGCCCGGUAGCUAAAUGCGGAAGAGAUAAGUGCUGAAAGCAUCUAAGCACGAAACUUGCCCCCGAGAUGAGUUCUCCCUGAGACUUAGAGUCUCCUGAAGGAACGUUGAAGACGACGACGUUGAUAGGCCGGGUGUGUAAGCGCAGCGAUGCGUUGAGCUAACCGGUACUAAUGAACCGUGAGGCUUAACCU